CUGAUGAGCAUCUAAAGGCAAGAAGUCGUGCCAAGCAACACCUUGAACAUAGAUUACCUCCAGGAGCACAAUUAGUAGUACUCUAAAUAUGAUCAACAAUUCCAAUAUUCUUUUGUAUGACCUGAUUUGCAGUACUCAGUAUUUGGGUCAAUUAUGACAAUUGGAGCAAUGUUAGGUGCAGUGCUGAGUGGAAGAAUAGCAGACAUCCUAGGACGCAGAGGAGUACCUGUAUAUAUAGCAUAAAUAACCCCCAAAAAUCUUCGAGGAGGAUCUACUACUGUGCAUCAGUUAUGGCAAGACCACUAAGAAAUUGUACGUUGAGUGAGUAUCUUUAUGAUUCAUGUGCAUAACUAUUGAUUAUUGUUCAGUUCAUGAUUUCUUUUUGGGUUAGUAGUUACAUAUUUUGUUGGAACUGUUGUCAACUGGCGCACCUUGGCUCUGAUAGGAACUAUUCCAUGUCUUGCACAGCUUAUAGGUUUAUUAUUAUUCCUG
Molecule: long non-coding RNA, 492 nt
Organism: Quercus lobata
Lineage: Eukaryota; Viridiplantae; Streptophyta; Magnoliopsida; Fagales; Fagaceae
Exons: 3
Source: RefSeq, a predicted model, not a curated record